GUCCAGCCGACGAGUCCCAAAUAGGACGAAACACACGUCCUGAAU
Molecule: non-coding RNA, 45 nt
Filed under: Schistosoma mansoni
Lineage: Eukaryota; Metazoa; Platyhelminthes; Trematoda; Strigeidida; Schistosomatidae
Source: RNAcentral